UUCGUUUUCUUUCGAUUGAUAAAAAUGAGAAGAUGAGACAAUUUGUAAUAUUUUGCUUUGUUUUCUCUGUUGCAGACAAUUCCCCGGCAGGCAAAAGGGCUUCAGACACCCUGACAGGCCUUCACUCGUCAUGCCGUCAGCAGGUGGUCCAAAUCCUCCUAGCAAGGAGGAAAGCUUAGACCUCAUGGGCCAAUACAAACCUGAAAUUUUCUGCUAAAAGGUAAAUUCACUUUGAAAAAAGAAGAAGAAAAAGCCUGGCUUUACUGUUUGCUUGCAUGAUCAUAAUUUUCUCCAAUCUUCUUUUGUUCUUGCACCUCUUUAACCGGGUCAAUUUUUGGUAGUUGGAAGGUUCAGAAUGUUACAAUUUUUCUUCUUAACCUUCUUUUUGCAUCAGGCAUCACGCAACACGCACUUAACUUGGCUGCCUAUGAAAGUCUUUUCACAUUCCAAGUCUCUUCUCACAUUUUAAGUGUUCAUCUAGCACAGUAGAAAUUCUGUUCUUCUAAAGAAACACUUUUAUCAUCUGAACGUUAUGCACGCUCUCGUUGUAAACAUGAAAGAUAAAAAUCUCCCUAUUCAAAUGUCUCAUUUGCAAAUGUUUGAUAGUUGAGAAUAGUGGUUGGCGCUUACUUCUACAUGCUUAGUUUAUAAUUUGAAUGACACUUUAUCAUUCCCUCGAGUUAAUAGGAUUUCAUGAGUUGCUUCCACAAGAUCAAAAAAUAUAUUCAAAUUGGAAUAACUGGUUAACGUUUACAGGAACGUGCUCUUAAAGGUUCAAUACUAGUGGCUUAAGGUAGAUUUGCAAUUUUGUUUCGUUUCAAGUAAGUGUAAUAAUACUCCCGGGUUGAUAUGAACUUUUUCUUACCGAUUUUCUUACCAUUGAAAAUUGGUAAGAAAAGUCUAAUAUCAACCUGAUAAUAAGGGUGCCGAUAAAGUGAAUCAACUGAGUGAUAAUAAUAUUCCAACUCGCACAAAACUUCCCUCUUCCUUUUCUCUCACAAACUUGGGAUAGGAACCUGAAGGUGAUGCCUUUUAGGCAUUCGUUCUGCCUCGGUUACUUUUGAGUAUAUUUUGCGAACAUAAUAUCCUAGCUAUGACGUAUCACCUACCGAAGGGAAGUGAUAUUGAGUGAAACGGUUAUCAUCUCGAAAACCACUAUACUUACGCAGGAACAUUGUUGAAUAUCUCGAAGGGAAAACAUCUUAUGUGUAAAGAGACAGUAUAGAAGAAAAUCAUAGAAUGCGUUAGUUAGAAGAAUUUAAAAUUCAUCACAACAACUCCAAUGAACAACUCUUAAAAAUAAAUGAAAAUUCGGAUAUCAUAGGAAAAAUGUACUCAAUAUAUAAUUAGCAAUUAUAAACAGACAGAUCGAUAUUGAGAUAGACACAGGUAGAUAUUGACUAGAGUGGGAAUGCUCUUGUUAAGAAGUGCCUCUGCCUGUAAUCUUUGAGAUGUACUUCCUUCUUCACCUGUUUAUCUCACCUGUCCUAUUUACGUAACUCAUCACCCAAUUACUCAUCUCAUGUCAAUUUAG
Molecule: long non-coding RNA, 1534 nt
Filed under: Bemisia tabaci
Lineage: Eukaryota; Metazoa; Arthropoda; Insecta; Hemiptera; Aleyrodidae
Description: lncRNA ENSSSA3NGG005620
Source: RNAcentral